This 66-nucleotide transfer RNA is filed under the name Pseudolycoriella sp. XQM-2020. RNAcentral describes it as "tRNA-Ser". The record is from RNAcentral. Lineage: Eukaryota; Metazoa; Arthropoda; Insecta; Diptera; Sciaridae.
GAAAUAUGUAUUUCAAAUAAAAGCUGCUAACUUUUUAUUUUAAUGAAUAAAUCCAUUUAUAUUUCU